UGGGGAAUAUUGGGCAAUGGGGGAAACCCUGACCCAGCAACGCCGCGUGAAGGAUGAAGGUUUUCGGAUUGUAAACUUCUUUGAUCAGGGACGAAAUUGACGGUACCUGAAGAACAAGCCACGGCUAACUACGUGCCAGCAGCCGCGGUAAUACGUAGGUGGCAAGCGUUAUCCGGAAUUACUGGGCGUAAAGGGCGCGUAGGCGGGGCCGCAAGUCAGAAGUGAAAGCCCGGUGCUUAACACCGGAUGUGCUUCUGAAACUGCGACUCUUGAGUGUCGGAGAGGAAAGUAGAAUUCCCAGUGUAGCGGUGGAAUGCGUAGAGAUUGGGAGGAAUAUCGGUGGCGAAGGCGACUUUCUGGACGAUAACUGACGCUGAGGCGCGAAAGCGUGGGGAGCAAACA
RNAcentral lists this ribosomal RNA (402 nucleotides) under uncultured Eubacteriales bacterium. RNAcentral describes it as "bacterial SSU rRNA". It matches the Rfam family "Bacterial small subunit ribosomal RNA", at positions 355 to 774 of the family's 1533-position model. Lineage: Bacteria; Bacillati; Bacillota; Clostridia; Eubacteriales. The record is from RNAcentral.